AAUAAUAAAUGUUGGAUUAUUUUUUUUUCUUCUGCAGAAAAGCUGGGCCAUCUGGUGAAGUGGAAUUACAUUAUCCAUGCACAUAUACGCUCCUCCUGCUUCUCCCAUCUUGGCGCCGUGCUCAAGCUGACAGCAAGGAUCUGCUGAAGGAUAUACGAGGCUGAGGGGGAUUAAGGUGAACCCCAAGCUGGCUACUGUCCAAAGUAUUCUUUGCCAAGGGUAAAAGUGGAAACCUUCUGCAAAUGAAGAAGACACUCCAUAAACGCAAACAUAGCAGACAGUCAGCUCCAUCCAUCACUGGAGGGGCUCACAGGACCCCUGGGUGCCCCCUGGCAAGUUCAAACCAGCAAUCCCCUCACUGGUGGAGCACAAAGAAGGUGACCCCGAGCUACGGCAAGGAGAAGGGUAAU
This is a long non-coding RNA of Syngnathus acus (greater pipefish), 410 nucleotides long. RefSeq lists it as uncharacterized. NCBI's taxonomy places the organism in Eukaryota, Metazoa, Chordata, Actinopteri, Syngnathiformes, Syngnathidae. The record is from RefSeq and is a predicted model, not a curated record. The transcript is spliced from 3 exons.